This 618-nucleotide ribosomal RNA is filed under the name uncultured Lachnospiraceae bacterium. RNAcentral describes it as "bacterial SSU rRNA". It matches the Rfam family "Bacterial small subunit ribosomal RNA", at positions 100 to 736 of the family's 1533-position model. The record is from RNAcentral. Lineage: Bacteria; Bacillati; Bacillota; Clostridia; Lachnospirales; Lachnospiraceae.
GGACGGGUGAGUAACGCGUGGGCAACCUGCCUCACACUGGGGGAUAACAGUCAGAAAUGACUGCUAAUACCGCAUAAGCGCACGGGAUUGCAUGAUCCAGUGUGAGAAACUCCGGUGGUGUGAGAUGGACCCGCGUUGGAUUAGCCAGUUGGCAGGGUAACGGCCUACCAAAGCGACGAUCCAUAGCCGGCCUGAGAGGGUGGACGGCCACAUUGGGACUGAGACACGGCCCAGACUCCUACGGGGGGCAGCAGUGGGGAAUAUUGCACAAUGGGGGAAACCCUGAUGCAGCGACGCCGCGUGAAGGAAGAAGUAUCUCGGUAUGUAAACUUCUAUCAGCAGGGAAGAAAAUGACGGUACCUGACUAAGAAGCCCCGGCUAACUACGUGCCAGCAGCCGCGGUAAUACGUAGGGGGCAAGCGUUAUCCGGAUUUACUGGGUGUAAAGGGAGCGUAGACGGAGCAGCAAGUCUGAUGUGAAAGGCGGGGGCUCAACCCCCGGACUGCAUUGGAAACUGUUGAUCUUGAGUACCGGAGAGGUAAGCGGAAUUCCUAGUGUAGCGGUGAAAUGCGUAGAUAUUAGGAGGAACACCAGUGGCGAAGGCGGCUUACUGGACGG